GAUGAACGCUGGCGGCGCGCCUAACACAUGCAAGUCGAACGAGUGGCGAACGGGUGAGUAACACGUGACCAACCCGCCCCCCCCACCGGGACAACCUCGGGACACCGAGGCUAAUACCGGCUAGGAGGGGACGGGGUCGCGGCCGAUCAGGUGUACGGGGGGGCGAAGGCCCGCCGUGCCGACGACGGGUAGCCGGGGGGAGAGGCCGAUCGGCAACAUGGGGACUGAGACACGGCCCAGACUCCUACGGGAGGGAGCAGUGGGGAAUAUGGCGCAAUGGGGGAAACGCUGACGCAGCGACGGCGCGUGAGGGAAGGAGGCCUGCGGGUAGUAAACCGCUUUCAGCAGGGAAGCGGUACCUGCAGAAGAAGCACCGGCUAACUACGUGCCAGCAGCCGCGGUAAUUC
RNAcentral lists this ribosomal RNA (407 nucleotides) under uncultured bacterium. RNAcentral's name for it is "partial 16S ribosomal RNA". It matches the Rfam family "Bacterial small subunit ribosomal RNA", at positions 28 to 526 of the family's 1533-position model. The record is from RNAcentral.